AUGGCCCACUUCACAUCUUGCUUGGAAACCGCACAGCUACCGCUUUCAAAAGGCCGAUUUCUGUGUGGAGGGACAUGUAGAAAAGUAAGGGUCGAGUGGGGCGUGCUUAUUUACCGACAUUGGCAACAGAGCUGCUACUCUGGAAGAUCCAUGAUGUCCAGGCCAAGGGAGGAGAGCAGAGCAGCCCAUGCUGACGUCACUUUUAGGAAAACAGGAGUGACUCCAUGGACUGCCUCCCCUGACCCCAAAGGGAAAACCCUGCUUCUCCCAGAGCGGAAGCCCAGGGGAAGCAUCCUGGAGGAGGACGCGGCGUCAAAGUGGGCUGUACUCCGCUGCGGACACGCACGUGGUUGUCAAUCAUUCUUCUCCUCCUGGCCAUGCUCCUGGAGCAGGCACAGUGAGGACRGGUAGGAUUGGUGGAGGAGAUGGGAGCAGAGACCCUGUCCACAAGGAGGGCUGUCCCUAAAUUCACGGAGACCCGUGGGAGGAAGAGGCAGAUGACAAAAGCAGCAAGUCACAGGGCCCCUGCGCUGUCGCGGAGAUCACGUCUACAGAUGGUGGCGGUUCCCUUCACACAGGGCACUAUCUGCUGCCCUACUGCUGCUGAUCCAUCCCACAGAAAGACCACCCCAGAGCCACACGCAAGAGGACAAACCCGGUGCUGCUGGUGUCGCGGAGACGACGUCUUCCAAYACUCAAGUUUCAUAAUUAUAACAGAAAGGCGUAAAUUUUCUAAUGCAUGGCAGUUCAAAAAGUAAUCAAGGGAAUGAGCCGGAGGGCUAUUUUAAUGUAUGCAAAGCUAGUGACCCUCGGUAAAUGGGAGGUUAGCCACAAUGAAUGCAAAGUAAUGCACACACCCCAAGUCCUGCUCUAGUGAGGGACGGCUAAAAUUAACACCCAAUUAAUUUCCGAAUUGACAAACAAAUGAAACCCAUAAAUCUACUUUCUCAUUAAUUUUCUUGUGGUAUAAUUUAAAGCAGUAAUAUGAGGGCAAAAACUGAGUAUUAUCCAUCAUAAACAUCAAAAAGAUAGCACUGUAACACCAUAAAUUAUGCAUAUUACCUGUUGUUAAAAAUGAUUUAUGUAUUAUCAACUUUCCCGUGCACUGUGGAUGUCUAGCUCUAUCUGCUAAAAUCCGGGAUUGCAUUUACCACGAGGGAAGGACAUACUCAGGAGCAGUGGAACUGUCAAAGGCCAAAAACAAAACAAAACAAAACAAAACAAACAAACAAACAAAAAACCAAAAAACCCAAGUGUGGCUACCUAGUCAUACAAGAGACCAGGGAAAAACUGGAACCUCCCCAGGUCUCUGGUGAGUGGAGUUUGAGAGCUUGGAAGCCAGGGGAAGAGACAGAGUCCCUAAGCCGGGCACCUAGGAAGCUCAGCCUGUGUGUCCUGAGGGUAAGCUCAUCUCCCCUCUUUUGCAACAUGAGAAAUGCAGUGCCUGAUGCAGGAAAGGGGCAGGCACAAGAGGGUACUAGAGGGGUCCCACAGCCAGUGGGGGGCAUCUCAGCACACCACAGGACUCGGGAAACCCAGGAAGCUCAGGAAAGCCAUGUCUAGAGGUAGAAUCUGGUGGGCUCACCUGUCUAUAUUUAUACUUCCAAGGGGGUGGGAGAAAAAAACUAGUUUCUGGUUAUUGCUUCAAUCAGAAACAUUGAUCUGUUAAAUAGAAGAGGAGACACUCUAAUUAAAAGUCUAAUCCACCCUUCCACCUCCAUUUGUUUAAAAAAAAAGUAAACCAGGCACGGUGGCACAUGCCUGCAAUCCCAGUGGCUUGGGAGGCUGAGGCAGGAGGAUCAUGAGUUCAAUGCCAGCCUCAGUAACUUAGCAAGGCUCUAAGCAACGCAGCGAGAACCUGUCUCUAAAUAAACACAAAAAAGGUCUGAGG
Molecule: long non-coding RNA, 1891 nt
Filed under: Urocitellus parryii (Arctic ground squirrel)
Lineage: Eukaryota; Metazoa; Chordata; Mammalia; Rodentia; Sciuridae
Description: lncRNA (ENSUPAG00010021598.1)
Source: RNAcentral